RNAcentral lists this ribosomal RNA (425 nucleotides) under uncultured bacterium. Its description in RNAcentral is "partial 16S ribosomal RNA". It matches the Rfam family "Bacterial small subunit ribosomal RNA", at positions 354 to 796 of the family's 1533-position model. The record is from RNAcentral.
GUGGGGAAUCUUAGACAAUGGGCGCAAGCCUGAUCUAGCCAUGCCGCGUGAGCGAUGAAGGCCUUAGGGUUGUAAAGCUCUUUCGUGGGGGAAGAUAAUGACUGUACCCCAAGAAGAAGCCCCGGCUAACUCCGUGCCAGCAGCCGCGGUAAUACGGAGGGGGCUAGCGUUGUUCGGAAUUACUGGGCGUAAAGCGCACGUAGGCGGACUGGAAAGUCAGGGUUGAAAUCCCGGGGCUCAACCCCGGAACUGCCUUUGAAACUCCCAGUCUUGAGUUCGAGAGAGGUGAGUGGAAUUCCGAGUGUAGAGGUGAAAUUCGUAGAUAUUCGGGGGAACACCAGUGACGAAGGCGGCUCACUGGCUCGAUACUGACGCUGAGGUGCGAAAGCGUGGGGAGCAAACAGGAUUAGAUACCCGAGUAGUCC